GAUCCUGGCUCAGGACGAACGCUGGCGGCGCGCCUAACACAUGCAAGUCGAGGGGAAACGACAUCGAAAGCUUGCUUUUGAUGGGUGUCGACCGGCGCACGGGUGAGUAACGCGUAUCCAACCUGCCCACCACUUGGGGAUAACCUUGCGAAAGUAAGACUAAUACCCAAUGAUAUCUCUAGAAGACAUCUGAAAGAGAUUAAAGAUUCAUCGGUGAUGGAUGGGGAUGCGU
This 232-nucleotide ribosomal RNA is filed under the name uncultured bacterium. Its description in RNAcentral is "partial 16S ribosomal RNA". It matches the Rfam family "Bacterial small subunit ribosomal RNA", at positions 15 to 236 of the family's 1533-position model. The record is from RNAcentral.